AAAGCCUGACGCAGCGACGCCGCGUGAGGGAUGAAGGUUCUCGGAUCGUAAACCUCUGUCAGAAGGGAAGAAACCGCACCGUGCUAAUCAGCGGUGCAUUGACCGUACCUAGAGAAGAAGCCCCGGCUAACUUCGUGCCAGCAGCCGCGGUAAUACGAAGGGGGCUAGCGUUGUUCGGAAUUACUGGGCGUAAAGCGCACGUAGGCGGACAUUUAAGUCAGAGGUGAAAUCCCAGGGCUCAACCCUGGAACUGCCUUUGAUACUGGGUGUCUUGAGUACGAGAGAGGUGAGUGGAAUUCCGAGUGUAGAGGUGAAAUUCGUAGAUAUUCGGAAGAACACCAGUGGCGAAGGCGGCUCACUGGCUCGUAACUGACGCUGAGGUGCGAAAGCGUGGGGAGCAAACA
RNAcentral lists this ribosomal RNA (404 nucleotides) under uncultured Pleomorphomonas sp. RNAcentral describes it as "bacterial SSU rRNA". It matches the Rfam family "Bacterial small subunit ribosomal RNA", at positions 378 to 774 of the family's 1533-position model. The record is from RNAcentral. Lineage: Bacteria; Pseudomonadati; Pseudomonadota; Alphaproteobacteria; Hyphomicrobiales; Pleomorphomonadaceae.